Molecule: non-coding RNA, 139 nt
Organism: Lupinus angustifolius (narrow-leaved blue lupine)
Lineage: Eukaryota; Viridiplantae; Streptophyta; Magnoliopsida; Fabales; Fabaceae
Source: Rfam
AGAACAUUGAGAGGACCGAGAAGGACGCACCCCUGGUGUACCAGUUAUCGUGCCUACGGUAAACGCUGGGUAGCCAAGUGCGGAGCGGAUAACUGCUGAAAGCAUCUAAGUAGUAAGCCCACCCCAAGAUGAGUGCUCU